GGAACAAUGUAGGCAAGGUAAAUCAGCAAAACGGAUCCAUAACUUCGGGAAAAUGAUUGGCUCUGAGGACUGGCUCGGGGGUCCAGGCUGCGAACCCGUCGGCUGUCGGCGGAUUGCUCAAGCUGCUCACGCGAUGAGAGCGGGUCGCCGCAUGUCGGCCGGGGGACGGACCGGGAAUCGCCCUUCGGGGGCUUUCCUCGAGCAUGAAACGGUCGACUCAUAACUGGUACAGACAAAGGGAAUCCGACUGUUUAAUUAAAACAAAGCAUUGCGAUAGUCCUCCCAGGUGCUGACGCAAUGUAAUUUCUGUCUAGUGCUCUGAAUGUCAAAGUAAAAAAAAAUCCAACCAAGCAUGGGUAAACGGCGGAAGUAACUAUGACUUUCUUAAUGUAGCCAAACACCUCGUAAUCUAAUUAGUGACGGGCAUGAAUUGACGAAAUUCCUACUAUCCUAUCUACUAACC
Molecule: non-coding RNA, 463 nt
Filed under: Triticum aestivum (bread wheat)
Lineage: Eukaryota; Viridiplantae; Streptophyta; Magnoliopsida; Poales; Poaceae
Description: rRNA LSU_rRNA_eukarya
Rfam family: Eukaryotic large subunit ribosomal RNA
Source: Rfam by way of RNAcentral